UAGGGAAUCUUGGACAAUGGGCGCAAGCCUGAUCCAGCCAUGCCGCGUGAGUGAAGAAGGCCUUCGGGUUGUAAAGCUCUUUUGCCAGGGACGAUAAUGACGGUACCUGGAGAAUAAGCCCCGGCAAACUUCGUGCCAGCAGCCGCGGUAAUACGAAGGGGGCUAGCGUUGUUCGGAAUUACUGGGCGUAAAGCGCACGUAGGCGGAUGAUUAAGUCAGGGGUGAAAUCCCGAGGCUCAACCUCGGAACUGCCCUUGAUACUGGCCAUCUCGAGUCCGGAAGAGGUUAGUGGAAUUCCCAGUGUAGAGGUGAAAUUCGUAGAUAUUGGGAAGAACACCAGUGGCGAAGGCGGCUAACUGGUCCGGUACUGACGCUGAGGUGCGAAAGCGUGGGGAGCAAA
RNAcentral lists this ribosomal RNA (400 nucleotides) under uncultured bacterium. Its description in RNAcentral is "bacterial SSU rRNA". It matches the Rfam family "Bacterial small subunit ribosomal RNA", at positions 355 to 772 of the family's 1533-position model. The record is from RNAcentral.